GACGAACGCUGGCGGCGUGCUUAACACAUGCAAGUCGAACGGAAAGGCCCUGCUUGCAGGGUACUCGAGUGGCGAACGGGUGAGUAACACGUGGGUGAUCUGCCCUGCACUUCGGGAUAAGCUUGGGAAACUGGGUCUAAUACCGGAUAGGAACCAUCUUUAGUGUGGUGGUUGGAAAGUUUUUUCGGUGUAGGAUGAGCUCGCGGCCUAUCAGCUUGUUGGUGGGGUAAUGGCCUACCAAGGCGGCGACGGGUAGCCGGCCUGAGAGGGUGUACGGCCACAUUGGGACUGAGAUACGGCCCAGACUCCUACGGGAGGCAGCAGUGGGGAAUAUUGCACAAUGGGCGCAAGCCGGAUGCAGCGACGCCGCGUGGGGGAUGAAGGCCUUCGGGUUGUAAACUCCUUUCGCUAGGGACGAAGCUUUUUGUGACGGUACCUAGAUAAGAAGCACCGGCUAACUACGUG
This 465-nucleotide ribosomal RNA is filed under the name uncultured bacterium. RNAcentral describes it as "partial 16S ribosomal RNA". It matches the Rfam family "Bacterial small subunit ribosomal RNA", at positions 28 to 507 of the family's 1533-position model. The record is from RNAcentral.